UUGCACAAGAUACGAAGACUCCAUCUAAGGAAAUCAACAAUGCAUCAAUUGACAUUGAUGCUGAAGUUUCACGAGAUACCAAGACUCCACUGAAGGAAAUCAGAAAUGCACCAAUUGACAUUGAUGCUGAAGAAACCAAGAGUCCGCAAAAGGAAUUUGAUGUAGCUUCACAAAGAUUUAAGACUCUGCGAAAGAAAGUUGGCACUGAAUUUAGACAUUGAUGCUAGUGAUACGGAUCAUCAAUGUCCUAUGGAAUUGUCAGUUGAAGAUGGCACUGUAAGAGUGGAGACCCCUGGGUUGGAUACCCUUCUGCUGUCUAGUUCUUCAAACUCUGAAGUAAAUGCUUAUGCCAAUUCAGUUAUCUUUCUUAUCCUGUUAUCUUGAGUCUUGAAUUCUCUUUUUUGGAGCAAGUUGCUUUCCAACAAGAGACUUAAAAUCUUUGAGUAUUUUAACUGCCAGAAAUUAUAUAGACAGCACUCUUUUUGAAGUGCAAGAAGUCAGAUAUAGAUCUUGUAUAUCAUCUGUAACUAAUCAAUUGGAAGUUGUUGCAGAACAAGGAAGUUGGUAUGGCUUCAGAUUAUGAAGACAACAUUGGAACUUGUUCGUCAACUUCAGCCUCAAGUCCUGCAAUUGAUUUUAGCUCUAAACUCCGUACAGUUUCACUAGAAGAACGAGUGUCAGAGUAUGGUUCUGGUGGAUAUGAAAUUUUAAGUGUAUUCACCACAUAUUUUUAUGAUUUAACAAUUGAUAUUGUUAUCUGACAGCUCUAUGAAGAGACAGUUUUUGAAAAAUCAUGGGGUUUGGAAAGGAUUUUUUUUAAUGAUUAAAAGUAUGUGAGUAGAAAU
Long non-coding RNA from Quercus robur (English oak), 845 nucleotides. RefSeq lists it as uncharacterized. NCBI's taxonomy places the organism in Eukaryota, Viridiplantae, Streptophyta, Magnoliopsida, Fagales, Fagaceae. The record is from RefSeq and is a predicted model, not a curated record. The transcript has 3 exons.